Xenopus tropicalis (tropical clawed frog) is the source of this 480-nucleotide long non-coding RNA. RefSeq lists it as uncharacterized. NCBI's taxonomy places the organism in Eukaryota, Metazoa, Chordata, Amphibia, Anura, Pipidae. The record is from RefSeq and is a predicted model, not a curated record. The transcript is spliced from 2 exons.
CUGCCAGAGGGGAGGGAAUGAAACACAUGUGUAGUAUGAAGCAAGGAGGGAAAGAAAGGGAGAAUACCUUUUUAAGAUGGCUGCCUGCUCAAGAAAACAUAUAGAAAAUGUGAAACGUCCUGGCUACUGUUUUCUGUCUACAUGCAUGACAGAUCCUGGAAAAUUACUACACAUUCAGCUAAGUGAAGAUGCAGUCAUAAUAACGUCCAGUUUCCUGCCAAUGUGAUUAAGCUGGCACUGUACGUGAUGCUAGAGCUGGAUUUUAUGGCCUUAAAUACCACAGAUUACCUCUAAUCUGCUGUCUUGUAGCCACAGCACAACUUUGCUAUGCAGGUCGUUGAGAUGACCUAAUUUCAUAUUUGAUUUGCAAUAACACUAAAAACAUUGCUUUUCAGCAUAUUCCAGGUGUUUUUCUUUUUUGAUCUGAACUUAAAUCUUGCCUAAACAAAAUAAAAAUGCUACUUUCUUUUUUCUUAUGCA